Molecule: transfer RNA, 69 nt
Filed under: Triticum timopheevii
Lineage: Eukaryota; Viridiplantae; Streptophyta; Magnoliopsida; Poales; Poaceae
Description: partial tRNA-Gln
Rfam family: tRNA
About the family: Transfer RNA (tRNA) molecules are approximately 80 nucleotides in length. Their secondary structure includes four short double-helical elements and three loops (D, anti-codon, and T loops).
Source: RNAcentral
UGGGGCGUGGCCAAGUGGUAAGGCAGCGGGUUUUGGUCCCGUUACUCGGAGGUUCGAAUCCUUCCGUCC